CCCAUGAAAUCAAUGGGAGUUAUGGAGGAGUUGACGGGCCAAAUCUCCAUUGACUCAAUGGGCUUGUACGGUUGUAAAAGUUGGACAGUAAAAUAAGCGUACAGGGGGAAAAUGAUUCUUUUCAAAUGUGGUGCUGGAGGAGAGCUUUGCAGAUAUUGUGGACUGCCAAAAAGACGAACAAGUGGGUCCUAGAUCAAAUCAAACACAGCACUUCACCUUUAAAGGGGCACAACGCUUCUGACAUCUUUUUUUUUAAUAACUUUUCGCCUAAUAGUCUAAGCACAGAUUAUCAAUGCUCCUUGAGCUAAAUCUAGACUUAUUGCCUCUCAGUUUUCGGUUGAUCUAGGAAAAUAUUCUAGCACUACCAGAUCAUCAAAAUAAGCAUUGUUGGCCUCAGCAGAUCUGAUUUUGCUGCACUGAAGUAGAACUAUUUCAAACAUUUCUAUGGAUUUCAGUAUCUUCUCAAAUUGCCGAAUCUCAAGUUUCUUUUGCCCACAUUUUUUCGUACAUCUGAAGGAUACGAAACCUCUUUGGCUUUGUAUCUGGCCAUGUUAAGGAUGAAGGCCUGGAUCUAUGACCCUUCUAAAAUCACUUUUCUGUCCUUCAAAGGUGGUGGAAUGAAAAGCCAAAAUCAUGGAGGUUCAUCAUUUCUGGCCAAAGGGCUAGAAAUAAGACAAACUGGUGUGGGAGAGGACCAAAAACGCUUGAAGGAGACAAGCCUGUCGUUGCAGGUUGUCAAGCGGAGUCUCUCUCAAGCGGGCCAGGAGACCAUGGUCUGGCAUGUUUUUCGGGAGGAUGGUUCCGGGAACAUGGAUUCUUUGGGUAAGGAGCCGUUUCCUCAAGUCUCAUGAGCCUCUACCCAGAUUGUUGGGGUAAGGAGCCGUUUCCUCAAGUCUCAUGAGUCUCCACCCACCCAAUGUGUCAUUUGCAGGGCUGGAGAAGAGCCAACCAGCAGAAAGAGGAGGGAUGUUUUCAUGUACAGUGGUUCCUUGCUUUACGAUUGCCCUGCAUUACGAUGAAACUGCAUUACGACGGUGUUUUGCGAUUGCAUUUAUGAUCGGAAAACCGUGGUCUGAAUGGGGUUUUUCGCUUUGCGUUCAUCGGGUCC
RNAcentral lists this long non-coding RNA (1108 nucleotides) under Pogona vitticeps (central bearded dragon). Its description in RNAcentral is "lncRNA (ENSPVIG00000008378.1)". Lineage: Eukaryota; Metazoa; Chordata; Lepidosauria; Squamata; Agamidae. The record is from RNAcentral.